This 74-nucleotide transfer RNA is filed under the name Bacteroidota bacterium. RNAcentral describes it as "tRNA-Arg". It matches the Rfam family "tRNA". Rfam says of the family: Transfer RNA (tRNA) molecules are approximately 80 nucleotides in length. Their secondary structure includes four short double-helical elements and three loops (D, anti-codon, and T loops). Lineage: Bacteria; Pseudomonadati; Bacteroidota. The record is from RNAcentral. RNAcentral also lists the same sequence under 1 other name.
GACCCCGUAGCUCAACUGGAUAGAGCAACAGCCUUCUAAGCUGUAGGUUGCGCGUUCGAUUCGCGCCGGGGUCA